GCGCUUGCUUCGGCAGCACAUUUCCUGAAACUGGACGAUACAGAGAAGAUCACUACCGCCCCUGCACAAGGACAACACAGAAAUCUGUGAAAUGUUUCACAUGUUU
Pteronotus mesoamericanus is the source of this 106-nucleotide small nuclear RNA. NCBI's taxonomy places the organism in Eukaryota, Metazoa, Chordata, Mammalia, Chiroptera, Mormoopidae. The record is from RefSeq and is a predicted model, not a curated record.